AGAGCAAGCUGUACAGCUUAGAAGCCCUCCUGCAGACUUGAGUCUUGCAGUCUCGGUCGGCCUGACCCAUGCUGCUAAGAUGGAAAUCAGCAGCCUCCCUCACCAGGGACUCCUUUUGUCUGCUCGUGUCAGGAAAAGUCUCCUCCAUUUAGACCUAAAAGAACUCUUUCCUCUUUUAAGUUCCUGACCCUGGGAGAGCUUUGAGUCUAUCCAAACCCAGAAGGCUAGGAAAGAUGACCAUGAGUGAAUGACACACCCAGCCCAGAAACCAUUCCGAAAACCGUCCUAGGCUGUGGUGACGUGUUCUGAAGUUGAUCAUCCCGGACUUAAAUUUUGGCUCCCCAACUCUUUAGCCAUGUCAGUCUGGGUAAGUAACUUUAACCUCUCCAUGCCUCAUUUGCCUCGCCUGCUAAAUAUGGAAAGGAACAGGAAUGAUUUCAUAAGAUGGUUGUAUCGGGGUGCCUGGCUGUCUCAGUUUGGGGAGUGUGCCAUUCUGGAUCCCAGGGUAGCAAGUUCGAGUCCCCCAUCGGGUGUGGAGCUUGCUUAAAAACAGCAUCCAGCAAUCGUCCACAGUACUGUUGACACAGGAAGAGUACUCCUGCUGACCGGAUCUCCAGGGAGGAGGGAGGGGCUAACCAGGUGGUCGCCAUAAGAAGAGACUUCAGAGUGCUCGUGGCAGGGUCCAAGAAGUUGUGGACUGGACGGGACCACCCAGAGUUCGAAUCCGGGCUCUGCCCCACUUUUCUCAUCUCCCGAUGGGCGUUCAGGCCUGUGGCCGGGGGCUGUCGGGGGUCCCAUUGCCUCAGUGUGGACAUCGCCAGAACGUGCUCAGCACCCCGCGAUGCCUCAGGAAAGCUGUCCUUGCUGCACACACUACCGGGAACAGCAGGUGCUUCCAGCCCACACACCCAGAGACGCGGAGGUCCGGCGGUUUGGCGCCAAGCUCCCACUUCCUGUGGAGCCCCUUGGUUCAGCAGUGGCUCCUCUGCUGCUUCGGCCCAGGGCCAGACAAGGGUUCCCAGCCCUUCAGAUCGCCCGGGGACCUCAGGGCACGACAGCCCCGCGCCCUGGAGAGACCUCCUCCACCGCCCCUAGGCCACGCCCCUGCUGCGUGCGACCUGGGCCUCUCGCCCAGCUGAAGACGUGCAUUUCCUUCCUUAGCCUGUGAUUGGCUUAGAAAGACACACGUGAUGCCUCGCUGGCCAAUGAGGUGUGAGGACGAUUGCCCUGGGGGAUUCUGGGAAGGGCUUUCUUCCCGAGACAGAGGGAGAAAGAGAGUGCGAGAGGAGAGGAGAGAAGCAGAGAGCUCCGUGUCUGGUUACUCGGGUUAAAGCAUCUGUGCCAGGAAAUGUGCAGAUCUAACAUGUACAGUUCUAAGGAUUUUGAGAAACGCGCCCAUGUAAUCCACACACCAUCAAGAUAGACAGCGCUCCCUCUGUCUAAAAAGUCCCCUGUGCCUUGCAGGCCAGUCCUCACACAAGAGGGAAUCACCGCCUGAGUUUUAGCGCCAGUGAUGAGUUUUGCCUGACCUCGAGCAUCCUGUGAAUGGCUAUGCCUGACUUCUUUCACUCAGCGCAACAUGUGUGAAACUUACCCAUGUUCAUUUGCUCCCUUUUUGGUUUUUUUGAGUAGCGUUCAUGGCAUGGGUGAACCACAGUUUGCUUGUGCAUUCUCCUGACGAUGGACAGUCGGCUUACUUCUAGCUUUUGACUCUUAUAAGUAAGGUUGUACAUUCUCCUACUGGUGUAGAGGUGAUGUUUUCAUCGCUCUUGGCCGAUACUCAGGAGUGGAGGGCAAGGACUGUCAGAAUGGGUGGAAAGAUGCCUUUACGGGCCAUCUACAAAAUGUGCACCUAAAACGAUGCGGCUGGAGAGAUCAAAAGCGAAGGACAUGGAGAGACAUCUGACAAAUGUGAAUGAAGGAAGCAAGGGUUGCGGGCCUCACGCUGUCCAGGUGGAAUUCACCGCCGAGACCCAGGACAGCGAGGCUGUUGGCACUGAGAAGGAAGAGCUGGUCAUAGGUGGGCGGUGGUGGUCUGCUGGUGGGGAGCCUCCGGCUCCCCUCACACUUGGAGAGACGGACUAUGGGGGUGUCGUGGGGCAAGGCCGGGACAAUGGGACCCCCGAGCUGGUGGACAGAGUGUGGGGAGCUUCCUGGGUCAGCAGGUGGGGGCUGGCAGGGAGCCUCCCCGAGCACUCCCUCAGUUCUCCAUUCCCUUUUCCUUCGAGGACCACUCUUCCCAGGAGGAGGAGGGAACGGCGCCCAGAGGCUCCUAAAGGGGAGAGUGGCAGGGCUGGGGAGAGGCCGGGGAUUGGCCCCCGCAGUUCUGGGUCAGGACAAGUGGAGUGAUGACGGAAGGCCGCCCUGGCGGCGUCCGGCACCUCCCCCAAGCCCGUGCCUUGUAGCUCCAACGGUGUGCAGGGGAAGCUCGGGGAGCCGGUGGUAGAGCUGCUGGGCACCGGGUGCUCCUGGCCCAGGAACGGGGAUCACUGCCCCCCUUACAAUCACGGGGUAGCUGGCUGUGCACUUAUGUUUCAAGACUUCAUGCCAUGAUCUAAAAUAUUGCUUUCGUAAACUUGGAACGGACACAGGCAUGAUGGAGCCUGCAGUUUCCUUCAUAACCUAUUUUUUAAAUGUCAGGUUCCCUAAUGUGAAGGGGGCUCCUUAUGUUUUCCUCGUGGACGUUGGGAGGCGAGGGGUUAAGAAGUACAGCAGGGAACAAAGUGUGGCCUGAUUUCAGACCUGGGUUCUCAGCCAUCGGUUCCAGUUAGAGAGAUGAUUCAGGGAUUACAGACGCGGUCCUUUCUUAAACAGACACUUCAGCUCUCCCCCUUUCCCUCAGGAGAGGUCUCGGGAUGACCCCUCCCAGGCAGGAGGAAAAACCCACAGACCCCACCUGACCAGGGUGCAGACCUGGGGCGACCAGGAGGGAACUUGUGCCUGGAGGGUCGAGGGGAGGGUCUGGAGCUGGCACCUUCUUCACCGGGACCCCUGCUGUCCUCCCCAGCCAGCCCUCCGGCCUCCCCGUGAUGGGCACCAGGUGGCCUCGGGCCUCUUUGCGGCCCUCCCAGGUGGCUGUUACGGUUUUAUGAACCCAUUUUGCAGUUCAUGAGAGUGAGGUGAGGCGCAGGUGACCGGCUCGAGGUUACCAGGCUGCAGGUGGUGGGGAAGGAGCCAGGAUCUGUGGCCGCUGCAGGGACAUCCCUCAGGCUGGGGGCUCGCAGGGCGUGACGGGCGGGCGAACGUUGGGGUCACGCCGCAGCAGACAGGCCCCCGGGAUGUCGGCCGAGUGAAUGGAAACUUCCCGUGCUGGCAGCUGUCUGGUUCUCAUCACGUGCAUGCGUGAUGUCAGUGCAGGGGCUGGAAUUGGGUGUCUCUGAGACUCCCUUGCAGACUGUGCUGACACCCACCGAUGCCAUGUGGGGGUGCUGUUCUCUGCUGGAGUCGUGCCCUGGCCCCACUGCCCGGCUUUCCACGUGUGUCCGGUGAAGGGUGUCCCGUCCCUGCCCCUUCUUGUCAGGAUCCCCCCCCCCCCCGGCUAGGACCCCGUGCGGUUCCCGCCACCCGCUUCUACUGGCCCUGGUGCCUGUGGUGCCCGCACACCUGCCCUCCUUUACCCCUGGGGCCGAAGCGCGCCGGCCCCACCCCCUCCCCUCGUCCACUGGCAGGCCCUGCAGCAGGGCGCCGAGCACUUGGGGGCCCGGUGGCCGUGCGUUUCCUCCUUGGGGAUCCGAGCCAGGCUGUGCUUCCCCGUCCACUCUGACCUUCCUGAGGCCAGGGCCGUUCCUGUGAAGGGGACAGCCACGGCCCCCUGCCACCUCUCUCUGGACCCGGGCCGGGUCUCCCAGGCAGCUUUCCACGGGGCCCGCCGGUCCCGCUGCCUCCUCCUCGGGGACUCGCAGGCUGUUUCUGGUGCCAGAAGGCUGGCCUUUCUGGGGUUUCGUCUCGUCGGAUCCGGCCAGCUCUCCCAGCCCCCUGAGACCUAACGCGCUUCUGCUUUUGUGGCGCAGGGUGUCAGGGCCCCUCCCUGCUCCUCCCCAUCCGUGGACAGUCCUCCCCCAACCCCAGAGAGGGCUGUCCGUCCGGACCCCCGACCAUCUCCACGGUCUCCUCCUGUCGUGGGAAGUGCGGGUCUGCUGGGAUUUUUUUACUCCACAGAAAGAUGACCGCGGACAGAGGAGUGAAAACUUUUAUUUCAAAAAGCCUCUGAUAUGGACACAGUGAGAAAAAACACAGGAAGGAGUAAAAAUAAAACUAACAAAUAAACGGGAUCUUGAAUAAAAUGUGGAACCAAUCACUCUCUUGAGGAAAAA
Felis catus (domestic cat) is the source of this 4313-nucleotide long non-coding RNA. RefSeq lists it as uncharacterized. The transcript has 3 exons. NCBI's taxonomy places the organism in Eukaryota, Metazoa, Chordata, Mammalia, Carnivora, Felidae. The record is from RefSeq and is a predicted model, not a curated record.